RNAcentral lists this ribosomal RNA (522 nucleotides) under uncultured fungus. Its description in RNAcentral is "SSU rRNA". It matches the Rfam family "Eukaryotic small subunit ribosomal RNA", at positions 569 to 1092 of the family's 1831-position model. The record is from RNAcentral. Lineage: Eukaryota; Fungi.
AGCAGCCGCGGUAAUUCCAGCUCCAAUAGCGUAUAUUAAAGUUGUUGCAGUUAAAAAGCUCGUAGUUGAAUUUCGGGGUCAGUAGGUUGGUCGUGCCUAUGGUAUGUACUGGCUUUACUGAUUCCUCCUUCUUGAAGAACUGUAAUGUCAUUAAUUUGGUGUUGCAGGGAAACAGGACUGUUACUUUGAAAAAAUUAGAGUGUUUAAAGCAAGCUAACGCUUGAAUACAUUAGCAUGGAAUAAUGAAAUAGGACGUUCGAUCCUAUUUUGUUGGUUUCUAGGAUUGACGUAAUGAUUAAUAGGGAUAGUUGGGGGCAUUAGUAUUCAAUUGUCAGAGGUGAAAUUCUUGGAUUUAUUGAAGACUGACUACUGCGAAAGCAUUUGCCAAGGAUGUUUUCAUUAAUCAAGAACGAAAGUUAGGGGAUCGAAGACGAUCAGAUACCGUCGUAGUCUUAACCAUAAACUAUGCCGACUAGGGAUCGGAUGAUGUUAAUUUUUUAAUGACUCAUUCGGCGCCUUACG